Molecule: ribosomal RNA, 401 nt
Filed under: uncultured bacterium
Lineage: Bacteria
Description: bacterial SSU rRNA
Rfam family: Bacterial small subunit ribosomal RNA
Source: RNAcentral
AGGGAAUCUUCCGCAAUGGACGAAAGUCUGACGCAGCAACGCCGCGUGAAGGAUGAAGGCCUUCGGGUUGUAAACUUCUUUGAUUGGGGAAGAAAUUUGACGGUACCCAAAGAACAAGCCACGGCUAACUACGUGCCAGCAGCCGCGGUAAUACGUAGGUGGCGAGCGUUGUCCGGAAUUACUGGGUGUAAAGGGCGUGUAGGCGGGGAUGCAAGUCAGAUGUGAAAUUCCGGGGCUCAACCCCGGCACUGCAUCUGAAACUGUGUCUCUUGAGUGCUGGAGAGGAAAGUGGAAUUCCUAGUGUAGCGGUGAAAUGCGUAGAGAUUAGGAGGAACACCAGUGGCGAAGGCGACUUUCUGGACAGUAACUGACGCUGAGGCGCGAGAGCGUGGGGAGCAAAC